AUGUCUUCAGGAAAUGCUAAAAUUGGGCACCCUGCCGCUGACUUCAAAGCCACAGCCAUUAUGUCAGACGGUCAGUUUAAAGACAUCAGCCUGUCUGACUACAAAGGAAAUAUAUUGUAUUCUUUUACCUGCUAGACUUCAGUAUGGUGUGCCCCACAGAGAUCAUUGCUUUCUGUGGUACAGAAGAAUUUAAGAAACUCAACUGCCAAGUGAUUGAUGCUUCUGUGGAUUCUCACUUCUGUCACCUGGCAUGGAUCAACACACCUAAGAAACAAGGAGGGCUGGACCCAUGAGCAUUCCUUUGGCAUCAGACCCGAAGCGCACCAUUGCUCAGGAUUAUGGGAUCUUAAAGGCUGAUAAAGGCAUCUCAUUCAGGCAUCUCUUUAUCGUUGAUGAUACAGGUAUUCUUCAGCAGGUCACUAUGUAGUGACCUCCCUGUUGACUGCUCUGUGGAUGAGACUUUGAGACUAGUUCAGGCCUUCCAGUUCACUGACAGACAAGGGGAAGUGUGCCCAGCUGGCUGGAAACCUGGCAGUGAUACUAUCAAGUCUGAUGUCCAAAAGAGCAAAAAAUAUUUCUCCAAGCAGAAGUGAGUGCUGGGCUGUUUUAGUGCCAGGCUGCAGUGGGAACCCCUGAGAACAAAAUCUCCUUUGUAUUUUUUUUUCCCAUGAGUAAAAUACAAGACUUCAGAUUCAGCCGAAUUGUGGUGUGUUACAAGGUAGGCCUUUCCUACAGGGAGUGGAGAGACCAGCCUUUCUUCCUUUGGAAGUGAUGGCCUGAAUUGUGUUGUGGGGAGGCCACUGAUUGUAUGAUGUGUCAGUAGAGAGCAUCAACCCAUUGAUCUUUUGUAGUUUGUUUUAAACUUGAACUGAGAAAAAAAUAAAAGAAUAUCAUAAUGUAUUUUCUUCUUUUAAUUUAUUUUAUCAGCUAUUUAAAUAACAAAAGUAAUACAUGCUGUUGUCAAAGCAAAUAAAAUCAAAACAGGUAUACUCGAAAAAUGGUAAAUGGACUGUACUCUUACUCCCUCCAAUCAGAUUUCUCCAGUAUACUCAGUGCUUGUAACUUGUUUUAAACUCUUCUGUCUUUAUUCCAACAAA
This is an RNA transcript of Piliocolobus tephrosceles (Ugandan red Colobus), 1097 nucleotides long. It is a transcript of the gene named peroxiredoxin-1-like, with no coding region annotated. The record is from RefSeq and is a predicted model, not a curated record. The transcript has 2 exons. NCBI's taxonomy places the organism in Eukaryota, Metazoa, Chordata, Mammalia, Primates, Cercopithecidae.